UGUAGCUUAGCAUCUGCUUCAUCUGACCACUUUUUUAUUGAUCUAGUCACUGGUGCUUCCGGCUAUAAUUUUUGCUUGUAAGUAGGAAUCAGGAGGAUAAAUUAUGGUCAGAUUUGCCAAAAGGAGGGCGAGGGAGAGCUUUCUAUGCAUCUCUGUGCGUGGAGUGUAGGUUGUCCAGAGUUCUUUUCCCUCUGGUUGCACAUUUAACAUUCUGAUAGAAAUUUGGUAAAACUGAUUUAAGUUUCCCUGCAUUAAAGUCCACGGCUACUAAAUCAAAUCAAAUUUUAUUUGUCACAUACACAUUCGUAUUGUGCCGCUAGAGGUGAAAUUCUUGGACCGGCGCAAGACGGACGAAAGCGAAAGCAUUUGCCAAGAAUGUUUUCAUUAAUCAAG
Molecule: non-coding RNA, 393 nt
Filed under: Salmo salar (Atlantic salmon)
Lineage: Eukaryota; Metazoa; Chordata; Actinopteri; Salmoniformes; Salmonidae
Description: Eukaryotic small subunit ribosomal RNA
Rfam family: Eukaryotic small subunit ribosomal RNA
Source: Rfam by way of RNAcentral